GAUGAACGCUGGCGGCGUGCCUAAUACAUGCAAGUCGAACGAAACUUCUUUAUCACCGAGUGCUUGCACUCACCGAUAAAGAGUUGAGUGGCGAACGGGUGAGUAACACGUGGGCAACCUGCCCAAAAGAGGGGGAUAACACUUGGAAACAGGUGCUAAUACCGCAUAACCAUAGUUACCGCAUGGUAACUAUGUAAAAGGUGGCUAUACUACCGCUUUUGGAUGGGCCCGCGGCGCAUUAGCUAGUUGGUAGGGUAAAGGCUUACCAAGGCAAUGAUGCGUAGCCGAAUUGAGAGGUUGAUCGGCCACAUUGGGACUGGGACACGGCCCAAACUCCUACGGGAGGCAGCAGUAGGGAAUCUUCCACAAUGGGCGAAAGCCUGAUGGAGCAACGCCGCGUGGGUGAAGAAGGUCUUCGGAUCGUAAAACCCUGUUGUUAGAGAAGAAAGUGCGUGAGAGUAACUGUUCACGUUUCGACGGUAUCUAACCGGAAAGCCACGGCUAACUACGUG
RNAcentral lists this ribosomal RNA (512 nucleotides) under uncultured bacterium. Its description in RNAcentral is "partial 16S ribosomal RNA". It matches the Rfam family "Bacterial small subunit ribosomal RNA", at positions 28 to 507 of the family's 1533-position model. The record is from RNAcentral.